This 492-nucleotide ribosomal RNA is filed under the name uncultured bacterium. RNAcentral describes it as "partial 16S ribosomal RNA". It matches the Rfam family "Bacterial small subunit ribosomal RNA", at positions 29 to 507 of the family's 1533-position model. The record is from RNAcentral.
AGUGAACGCUGGCGGUAGGCCUAACACAUGCAAGUCGAACGGCAGCACAGUAAGAGCUUGCUCUUACGGGUGGCGAGUGGCGUACGGGUGAGGAAUACAUCGGAAUCUACUUUUUCGUGGGGGAUAACGUAGGGAAACUUACGCUAAUACCGCAUACGACCUACGGGUGAAAGCAGGGGAUCUUCGGACCUUGCGCGAUUGAAUGAGCCGAUGUCGGAUUAGAUAGUUGGCGGGGUAAAGGCCCACCAAGGCGACGAUCCGUAGCUGGUCUGAGAGGAUGAUCAGCCACACUGGAACUGAGACACGGUCCAGACUCCUACGGGAGGCAGCAGUGGGGAAUAUUGGACAAUGGGGGAAAGCCUGAUACAGCCAUACCGCGUGGGUGAAGAAGGCCUUCGGGUUGUAAAGCCCUUUUGUUGGGAAAGAAAAGCAGCAGGUUAAUACCCCGCUGUUCUGACGGUACCCAAAGAAUAAGCACCGGCUAACUUCGUG